Argiope bruennichi is the source of this 217-nucleotide long non-coding RNA. RefSeq lists it as uncharacterized. The transcript is spliced from 5 exons. The record is from RefSeq and is a predicted model, not a curated record. Lineage: Eukaryota; Metazoa; Arthropoda; Arachnida; Araneae; Araneidae.
UUGUAAGAAUAAUUUUGAUUCAGUUACAGUUCUGAUUUCUGAAAGUUCGGCUUUUACUCUAAAAACAUUUUUUUUAAAAAUGAGGCACUUUCCGAUAUUCUGUAUUGUUUUGAUAUCUUUUGUUUUGCUCACUAAUAUAGAAGCAGCACCUGCCGGCUCAACUCCUAAAACUGCUGAUAAUCAAGUUGCAAAUAGUCCGAUAAGAGGUAAAUAUAUU